GUCGAGAAUCUUUCACAAUGGGGGCAACCCUGAUGGAGCGACGCCGCGUGGAGGAUAAGGUCUUCGGAUUGUAAACUCCUGUCAUGCGUGAACAAGGUUGCUUGGUUAAUACCUGGGCAAAUUGUUGGUAACGCAAGAGGAAGAGACGGCUAACUCUAUGCCAGCAGCCGCGGUAAUACAGAGGUCUCAAGCGUUGUUCGGAAUCACUGGGCGUAAAGGGUGCGUAGGUGGCGUGGUAAGUCAGAUGUGAAAGCCCGGGGCUGAACCUCGGAACUGCAUCCGAUACUGCCAUGCUAGAGUACUGGAGAGGUGACUAGAAUUCUCGGUGUAGCAGUGAAAUGCGUAGAUAUCGAGAGGAAUACCAAAGGCGUAGGCAGGUCACUGGACAGUUACUGACACUGAGGCACGAAGGCCAGGGGAGCGAACGGGAUUAGAUACCCGUGUAGUCC
This 449-nucleotide ribosomal RNA is filed under the name uncultured bacterium. Its description in RNAcentral is "partial 16S ribosomal RNA". It matches the Rfam family "Bacterial small subunit ribosomal RNA", at positions 354 to 796 of the family's 1533-position model. The record is from RNAcentral.